AAACUCCGAACAACAAACCCGGGCAGGUGGAGCUCGUUAGCCGUGGUAGGCAAUUCACCUAGGAGAGCAAACUCCGAACAACAAACCCGGGCAGGUGGAGCUCGUCAGCCGUGGCAGGCAGUUCAUCUAGGAGAGGGACAACUCCGAACAAGAAACACGGGCAGGUGGAGCUCGUCAGCCGUGGCAGGCAGUUCAUCUAGGAGAGGGACAAUUCCGAACAAGAAACCCGGGCAGGUGGAGCUCGUUAGCCGUGGCAGGCAGUUCAUCUAGGAGAGGGACAACUCCGAACAAGAAACCCGGGCAGGUGGAGCUCGUUAGAUGUCGUAGACAUCCACGUGAUGGGAACACCAAAAUGAAAAGGAGAAUGAAAAAGAACACCAGAAUAAUGAAAACGAAGAAACGAAACAUCAAGAAAACAAAAUAAGAAACAGAUCAUCCACCUUUCGGCCCUAAUUAACAUCACCAAAAUUAUGGGUGGGUCUUUUCUGGGGAGAAAAAGGCUCAUCCAGACCAAAGAACAUCAAGAGGGAUGAUACAGAAAAGAUAAAAGAACAACAAGAAAAGAAUUAAUACAAACAUCGUCCACCUUUCGGCCCCAAGGAACAUCACAAAAUUAUGGGUGGGUCUUUUCUGGGGAGAAAAAGGCUCAUCCAGACCAAAGAACAUCAGAACGGAUGAUACAGGAAAGAUAAAAGACCAACAUCAAGAAAAGAAGAAAAAAACAUCAUCCGCCUUUCGGCCACAAGUAACAUCACAAAAUUAUGGGUGGGUCUCUUCUGGGAGGAAAGCGGCUCACCCAGACCAACGAACAUCAACAAAAGGAUGAUAUAGAAAACAACAAGAGCUAGAAAAUGAACAGAAUAACAUCGAAAAUGAAAACAAAACAUCAAGGAAAGAAAACUAUAAGAAACAUCAUCCACCUUUCGGCCCUCAGCAACAUCACCAAAAUUAUGGGUGGGUCUCUUCUGGGAGGAAAGCGGCUCACCCAGACCAACGAACAUCAACAAAAGGAUGACAGGAAAAGAAAGAAAAGGAAAAAGAAAAAGAAGAGAGAGAAAAGAAAGAAUAA
Long non-coding RNA from Eriocheir sinensis (Chinese mitten crab), 1069 nucleotides. RefSeq lists it as uncharacterized. Lineage: Eukaryota; Metazoa; Arthropoda; Malacostraca; Decapoda; Varunidae. The transcript has 2 exons. The record is from RefSeq and is a predicted model, not a curated record.